GUUCCUCGAUCUAGGUUAGUUUUUUUUCUGCACUCGUUAUAUUGCAAACCGUUUCCGCUUAGUUAGAUUUGCUGAUUUUGAUUUUGAUUUUCUCAAGCUAAAUUUCCCCUUAAUAAGAGUCGUUUUGUUUUCCUUAUCUUCGCGAUGAUUAGGCUUUGGUGGUUUUAGAUAACUUGGUGAUCGUCUCUUGAUUUUUGCCUGACCGGUGAUCUGACUUCCUGUUCAAAUUGAUUUUGUUUUGUUUGAUCUCUACCCUCUGAUGAACUAAGAUGAAUGUAUUUAGCCGUGUUAUUAAAACCGGACCCACCCGAUGGUUGAACCGGGUUCGACCAUAAAUCGGUUAAGAUUGGGUCUACUAAUCGGUUUUUCAAGUAGCUGGAUUGGAUCUCAGAAUUAUUAAACUGAUAAAAACCAUUAAAACUAUCAAAAAUCUAUAAAACAUCUAUAUAAACAUAAAACUAAUUUAUAUUAAGAAUAUUUUAUGUUUUAAAUUCAUUUAUAUUUUAGUUAUGUAUCAUAUUUACUAACAUUACUUUUAAAUUUAUACACUAAAAAUAUAUUAAACUAUAUUACUGAACUAGGUUUGAUCCGGUCAAACCAUAUUGAACCGUGACCCAAAAAUUAUCCGUUUUUCAUCUUCUGAUCCGGUUUUUAAAACACUGGUAUUUAGGUUCUAAAAUCAACUUGAGUUCUUUUUUUUUCACUCAAAAUCUAAUGUAGGAUUUGAGCUAAUAGGUGAUUGCAGCUUGUUUGGAAAGUUUUGGAUCCUUAGAUAUUCAUCUUAUGGAAACAUAGAUCAUUGACGAUUAAUUUAAGAUAAAUGAGAUGUGACACGUGUCUUAUUUCUCCAUUAAGAUGUUCGCAAAUCUUUGGUUUCUUGGCAAGCACAUAUAUAAAACAUGUUGAAAAUUAAUUCAUAUACAAUUCAAGGAUGCUUUUCUUUUGCAAGAUCCAAAAAGUAGCAAUGAUGGUGAUGACUUUGUGUUGGUGGAGUUAAAACAUUCUCAUCUCAACUAUGACUGCAUUAAUUGUUUUAAAGGAAUUAUAAACCGAUGACUAAAUAACUCACUUGUAUGUAGUUUAUAAAAGGAAUAUCUCUCUAGAAACCUCUGACUUCUCUCUAGACUCCUUCCGGUGAGAAAAGUGUCUCCGGCCGAUGGAGUGGGCUUUCACAGCCACCGUCGGUCCGGUGUAUAUGUUUUUUUUUUCCUUUUCGUUGCAUGUUCAAAGGAGAGAGAUCAUUGGAUCUCUUUUCUGUUUUUGGUGCCAACUGAUCGGCUUUUUGACUCCGGAACGACGAGGCUCCUUUAGUUCUGUUUGUCGCCGGCUUAUGACUCUGAGGGGUGGUGACUCCUUAAGCAUCGCGUCGCCGGCUUUGGGUUCGAAUUUUCUCUUAUGGGUUUGGGUUUUCUUAUGUCGGCUUUGGUGUGUUGGAUGGAUCUCGAACAGAUCGAUGACGCUCUCCGAUGGUGAAGCCAAAGCGACGUAGAUAACGAUGGAUGCUUUAGAUUCAGUUAAUCAAGUGGUUGGUGGCUCUGGAUGAGAUCCCGACGAUGUUCGAUGGACUCUAUCCGUUGAAAAGAGCACGGCCGUAGAUGAUAGAGGUGGUCUCCGAUGUGAUUCCGGCGAAGGGAUUCGUGGUUUGUCGACGGUGGGAAAGGUGAAGCGGUUAAGUGACACGUGGUUACCUUGCUGGGAGGUUUAAACACGUGUUGUUGUUGAUCGGUUAGUCAUGGGAUUAGUGGGCUAGCCUUUUUGGUCUUUUAGUUAUGUUGUUUCGGUUGGGCCUUGUUUUUUUUUGUCGUUUGGGCUUUGUUGUAAACUUUGUAUAAUUGGACUCUAUCCAUGUUUUAAUAAUAAUACUAGGUGGCAAAAAAAAAAAAAAACUCACUUGCAUGUAAUCAUUUUCAAUACAUCUCCCCGAUACUUAGAACAAAUAAUGUUAAGUAAUUAUCACUUUUUGGUGGGUGCUACAUGCAUGGUCAAACUUUUUCAAUACAUCUCCCAAUCCUUUUUUUCUUUUUUCAAUUGAGAAGAUCUUGGUGGGGUCCUAGUGAUUGUGGACUCCGUGCCUACUUGAAUAAGUCACUGCAGUCUUCACGGGGAAAAGCAAUAUAUCUCAAUCUUAAACAUUUCUCAUGUCUGUAUUAUAGUUUGAUAAAAUGGUUGAUAUAGUGCCACCUGGUUACAGGAUAGUCUUAGACGUUAGAACAAGUACAAGGUGCGUGUGAGAUUCUUGUUACCUAGUCAUGGGGGUUUUCUAGUGUUAUUUAUUUAUUUCACUCACGUGUUUUGUGGGGUUAAUCAACAAACAGUUAGACUUUCAACUAUAUCGAAUUACAACGUAUUUUUAUAGCCACAUGUCAUCACCACAAUCAUUCUUAGAAUCUUUAAAAAAAUAUGUUGGUCCAUAUAAAUAUAUAAUAAACUUUUUAUUAAACUAACCAUAAAUUAAUCAUAAAUAUUUUUCAUUGUUUCAUUAAAUAAAAAUCACGCAAUUACCUAAUAUGGCUAAAGUAUAAAUGACAAUUAAUGAUUUUAAAUAAUAAAGAUUUGAUAAAAAUUACUCUAUUCUCUAUCAUUUUAAAAAAUUUAACUAAUUAAAAUAAAUUAAACAACCACGUUAACUAUAUAAUAAAAAUUUAGAUUUUUUUCGUAUAUGCUAUAUUUUGGUCCAUAUAAAAAUAUAUUGGUCCAUACAAAUAUAUAAUAAACUUUUUAUUAAACUAACCAUAAAUUAAUCAUAAAUGUUUUUCAUUGUUUCCUUAAAUUAAAAUCACGGAAUUACCUAAUAUCGCUAAAGUAUAUAUGACAAUUAAUGAUUUUGAAUAAUAAAGAUUUGAUAAAAAUUACUCUAUUCUCUAUCAUUUUAAAAAAAAUUAACUAAUUAAAAUAAAUUAAAAAACCACGUUAACUAUAUAAUAAAAAUUUAGAUUUUUUCGUAUAUGCUAUAUUUUGAAUUUUUAAAAACGAAUAUAAAUAACUAAAGUUGUUAAAAAUCUCACAUUGAAAUUUUUGUGAUCCAUGGUUUAAAAUUUAUGUUAUAACAAGAUACAAAUGAUUAUGAAAUUACAGAAAUAAAAAGUCUCAUUUAAUAAAUAGUGUAUAUAUGUAUAUUAAUAUGUGAAAUUGCAUCCCAUAUACAUAACUUUUCCCUUAAUUAACUAAAUACCCUAAAUCCCACAACAUCAUACCUUAGUUGUUAGACACACAACUUGUCACAUCAUGUGUAUUCACCUAAUUUCUAACUUCUUUGUGGUUAUUUAGCUAAUUGACUCUAUUAAUAUUUUUUAAAAAUAAAUUAUAUACCAUAUAAAAAUACAUAAGUAUUUUAAUUUCGAAUUUGCUUUGAUUUUUUUUUGAUAAACAUUUUAUACAAUUAUUGACAACUUAAUAUUUAGAUUUUAAACUUUGCAUUGAAUGUUUCUAAAAUUAUAAAUUGCUAAAACUAUUAAUCAUCACAUAAUUUUUUUUAUUGUUAUCAUUUAUUUAAAAUUUUUGUUAUAAAGAAAUACAAACUAUCAAAAAUAAUAUGAGUAUAAAAUAUUUUUUAACAGAUGUCAAUAUUAAAAAUGUACUUUAUAUCUAUGUUAAUAUCAUGUAAACUUAAUUUUAUAACAUAUAAAAUAGAAAAAGUAUUUUUCUCGAUUAAUAAAAUUUAUUUAAGUAUAUGUACCAACUUAAUUACAUAUGUAAUAGUUACUAAAUUUUUUAUUAUUCAAUAUAUAUUUAUUAUUUCAUAAUAUGUAAAAAAAUAUAUAAUACUUAAAAAUAAUUUGUAUAUAAUAUUCAUCCUAGUAUAUACAUAUAGGUAAAGCAAAAGUGAGAUCAGCAAAUCUUAUCAGCUUUUUUUUUUCAUAAAUAUAUGGUGCUUAUUAGAUUUGCUCUUAUAAGAUUUUAACUCUCUCUAGAAACUCUCUAACUUCUCUCUUAAAACAAAGUUCAUCCUCCUUGCCGGUGUGUGUUUUUUCCGGCGGUGGUGCGCCACCAGUGCCACCGUCGGAAUAGCUUUGGAUUUUUGUUUUGUUUUUGCGUUUUAAGUGUCUAUUUAGUUCCCUCUCCAACAUCGGUGACAAUCGUUUUGCAUCGUCUGGUUGGUUUUUGACUCUGGUGUCAUCACUUUAUACUCCAGUGAGGGCAUCCGGCUCUUGACUCUGAUUUCAACCUUUCUUCAAGGUGAAGUCGGCUUUUCCGAUUGAUUCCAAAUCAAUGGGAUGUCUCUGUUUUUAAGUCUUGGUGGUUUGGUGUUGCGGAUGAGAUCUCGACUUCGGUCGAGCGAAGCUCUCUGUUGUAAGGUGGUUCCGAUGUGUGUGAAGACCUUCUCUGGAAUUAUGGUUGUGAUAUGGAUGAGAUCUCGAUUAGGGACGAUUGACGUUCUUCGAUCGAUGGAUCUGAUGCAAAGAAGGUGUGGGCUUCACAGCUGGUGGUUUCUUUGGGUGUGGUACUGUUCCCGGUUAGGUUCCGGUGGGUUGCCGUGUUUCCGGCGACGACAUGCAAUUUGAUGAAGGCGGUGGAGACUUCCCAACACGUGACCUUUUGUCCUCGUGGUAGGGACGUGUUGUUUUCUCUUGUGCCGUGGGUUUACUUAGGCCAUUGUUGGGCUUUGUUCGUUUUUUUUGGUUUAUGUCGUAGGGUUGUAUGUUGGUUGAAUGUCUUUUAUGUGGGCUUUUUAUAUAUGUAAAAGUACUAUCAAUAAAUAUCAGUGAAAAAAAAAAGAUUUGCUCUUAUAAGGUGGACCAACAGUUUGUUAUAUUUUCUUUUUCCUUUGCCUUUUGUUACCGACACAUGUUAUUGGAGGCAUCGUAUGAUGUUGUCCACGCGCACACAAUAUAAUUAUAUAAACACUACCAAGUCAUCGGC
This 4860-nucleotide long non-coding RNA is filed under the name Brassica napus (rape). Its description in RNAcentral is "long non-coding RNA (BNAP_LNC002895)". Lineage: Eukaryota; Viridiplantae; Streptophyta; Magnoliopsida; Brassicales; Brassicaceae. The record is from RNAcentral.